This 67-nucleotide transfer RNA is filed under the name Meroles squamulosus. Its description in RNAcentral is "tRNA-Thr". It matches the Rfam family "tRNA". Rfam says of the family: Transfer RNA (tRNA) molecules are approximately 80 nucleotides in length. Their secondary structure includes four short double-helical elements and three loops (D, anti-codon, and T loops). Lineage: Eukaryota; Metazoa; Chordata; Lepidosauria; Squamata; Lacertidae. The record is from RNAcentral.
GCUCUGGUAGCUUAAACACAAAGCACUGGCCUUGUAAGCCAGAAAUGGAAAACCUUUCCCCAGAACA